Molecule: long non-coding RNA, 327 nt
Organism: Anguilla anguilla (European eel)
Lineage: Eukaryota; Metazoa; Chordata; Actinopteri; Anguilliformes; Anguillidae
Exons: 2
Source: RefSeq, a predicted model, not a curated record
GAAACAUGUGAUUUCGAUCUUGCUUGUGAUCUAAUUAUUGCAAAACAGCCUGGGAUGGUGGUACCAGAGCUGGUCAUUGGGGUGAAAGAUGGAAUCCAAUUCCAAAGGUGUGGACAACCCUGGAGACACUCAAGAGACGGUCCCACAGGGAACUGAACUCUGGGACAGAUACAGUCAGCAAGAGAGGGCCCGUCCGCAAAAACCCAAGGGAGGAAAUCUGGCAGAGCUUCCACAGGAAAUCAAUGAAGUGGUCACUUACAGGUCUUUACAUGAGGACAAAAUCCUGUAAAAAAAAUACAUAUUAAAAAGCUUGCCAUUUUCAAAAUG